This 400-nucleotide ribosomal RNA is filed under the name phytoplankton environmental sample. RNAcentral's name for it is "partial small subunit ribosomal RNA". It matches the Rfam family "Eukaryotic small subunit ribosomal RNA", at positions 587 to 987 of the family's 1831-position model. The record is from RNAcentral.
AGCUCCAAUAGCGUAUAUUAAAGUUGUUGCAGUUAAAAAGCUCGUAGUUGGAUUCCUGGUUUGAGCGACCGGCCUGGGCCGAACGGUUCAGUGCUUCGAGUUGUCUCUGACCUUCCUGUGGGAGAGCUUGUUUGACAUUAGGUUGUUAGGCAAGGGACCCCACUCGUUUACUGUGAAAAAAUUAGAGUGUUUAAAGCAGGCAUUUGCUGUGAAUACAUUAGCAUGGAAUAAUAAGAUAGGACUUUGGUGCUAUUUUGUUGGUUUGCACACCAAGGUAAUGAUUAACAGGGACAGUUGGGGGUAUUCGUAUUUAAUUGUCAGAGGUGAAAUUCUUGGAUUUAUGAAAGACGAACUACUGCGAAAGCAUUUACCAAGGAUGUUUUCAUUAAUCAAGAACGAA